This 164-nucleotide ribosomal RNA is filed under the name Ichnanthus piresii. RNAcentral describes it as "5.8S ribosomal RNA". It matches the Rfam family "5.8S ribosomal RNA". Rfam says of the family: 5.8S ribosomal RNA (5.8S rRNA) is a component of the large subunit of the eukaryotic ribosome. It is transcribed by RNA polymerase I as part of the 45S precursor that also contains 18S and 28S rRNA. The record is from RNAcentral. Lineage: Eukaryota; Viridiplantae; Streptophyta; Magnoliopsida; Poales; Poaceae.
UAAACGACUCUCGGCAACGGAUAUCUCGGCUCUCGCAUCGAUGAAGAACGUAGCAAAAUGCGAUACCUGGUGUGAAUUGCAGAAUCCCGCGAACCAUCGAGUUUUUGAACGCAAGUUGCGCCCAAGGCCUUUGGGCUGAGGGCACGCCUGCCUGGGCGUCACGC